This 504-nucleotide long non-coding RNA is filed under the name Apteryx rowi (Okarito brown kiwi). RNAcentral's name for it is "lncRNA (ENSARWG00000018737.1)". Lineage: Eukaryota; Metazoa; Chordata; Aves; Apterygiformes; Apterygidae. The record is from RNAcentral.
AAAGAUAACUAGGAAACUGGGAGAGAAUUGACCCACUUAGAAGUGAAUUUUACAUUUUGAAGACUUCAGAGACAGUUAAUCACUUUUAAAUAGAAGAAAAGCAUGAGGUCACUGCACACAUUGCGUACAACAAGCUCUGCCCAGCCAGAACAUCCUAGGAGCAGCAAUCAGCACCCAGUCCGUCCUUGUCUGGAGCUGUGAGUAGACUCUCAAGAAGAAAUGGAGAAACCCAAUCUACAUUUAAAGGAUGAUGAGAAGCAGCAGCAUGAAACGCUGAGGAGAGGUGGCAGCUCAAAGGCUGGACAAUAUCACCGCAUGGGUUUGGCAAAGUCAGAGAGGAGGUGCCACAGGACACAUCUCGAAGGCUAUGAGGACUCUGGUAGCUCACCUUAUUCCAUCUUAGCUCCGACUGGCAACCAGGGAGAGCAUAGUCAUGUCUACAUUUCACUCUAAGCUCUACUACAAACAAAUAAAACAAUGCCUUUUUUGAAGCUUGCUGUGCCU